GCUUAGAGAGGGGUCAAUGUCCUAUCAGCUAGUUGGUAGGGUAAUGGCCUACCAAGGCUAAGACGGGUAGCCGGCCUGAGAGGGUGGUCGGCCACACUGGGACUGAGACACUGCCCAGACUCCUACGGGAGGCUGCAGUCGAGAAUCUUUCGCAAUGCCCGAAAGGGUGACGAAGCGACGCCGCGUGUGGGAAGAAGGCCUUCGGGUUGUAAACCACUGUCGGGAGUUAAGAAAUGCAAGGGUGUUAAUAGCAUCCUUGCUUGACUAAGGCUCCGGAGGAAGCCACGGCUAACUCUGUGCCAGCAGCCGCGGUAAUACAGAGGCGGCAAGCGUUGUUCGGAAUUAUUGGGCGUAAAGAGCACGUAGGCGGCUUUGUAAGUCAGUUGUGAAAGCCUCCUGCUCAACGGAAGAACAGCAUCUGAUACUGCAAGGCUAGAGUGCGGAAGGG
This 448-nucleotide ribosomal RNA is filed under the name uncultured Planctomycetota bacterium. RNAcentral describes it as "bacterial SSU rRNA". It matches the Rfam family "Bacterial small subunit ribosomal RNA", at positions 217 to 656 of the family's 1533-position model. The record is from RNAcentral. Lineage: Bacteria; Pseudomonadati; Planctomycetota.